ACGGGAGGCAGCAGUGGGGAAUAUUGGACAAUGGGGGAAACCCUGAUCCAGCGACGCCGCGUGAGUGAGGAAGUAUUUCGGUAUGUAAAGCUCUUUAAGCAGGAAAGAAAAUGACGGUACCUGCAGAAUAAGCCCCGGCUAACUACGUGCCAGCAGCCGCGGUAAUACGUAGGGGGCAAGCGUUAUCCGGAUUUACUGGGUGUAAAGGGAGCGUAGACGGAACGGCAAGUCUGAUGUGAAAGGCAUGGGCUCAACCUGUGGACUGCAUUGGAAACUGUCGUUCUUGAGUGCCGGAGGGGUAAGCGGAAUUCCUAGUGUAGCGGUGAAAUGCGUAGAUAUUAGGAGGAACACCAGUGGCGAAGGCGGCUUACUGGACGGUAACUGACGUUGAGGCUCGAAAGCGUGGGGAGCAAACAGGAUUAGAUACCCUGGUA
Molecule: ribosomal RNA, 434 nt
Filed under: uncultured Blautia sp.
Lineage: Bacteria; Bacillati; Bacillota; Clostridia; Lachnospirales; Lachnospiraceae
Description: partial 16S ribosomal RNA
Rfam family: Bacterial small subunit ribosomal RNA
Source: RNAcentral